Long non-coding RNA from Gadus macrocephalus (Pacific cod), 2068 nucleotides. RefSeq lists it as uncharacterized. Lineage: Eukaryota; Metazoa; Chordata; Actinopteri; Gadiformes; Gadidae. The record is from RefSeq and is a predicted model, not a curated record. The transcript has 2 exons.
CCUACCACAGAGCUAUAGAGAGAGAGAGUUGCGACACUUCCAUUGGACUCCGUUGUAGCGCCUACUUCCGGGGUAUGGAGCCUCGAAUAGUUCCAAACAACCAUUUUACGGCGUAGGAGACGUUCAUUUCCAUUGCUGGCCGCCGAGUAACUUCUGAGGGUGAUGUUCAGCACAUGAAGCCCUACAGAUGCCGCCGAUUCAACAAUGCUGAUUAUGAUGGGCGGUCAAUUUAACCUGUGUGGCUUUUUCGUUUUAAUUUCUUGUUGACUGAAUUGUUUCUCUUUCUUAGUGCCAAAUUGAUUAUCUUUCUUAGUGCCAAAUUGAUUCUUUUUUGUUUUGCAAUAGCCCUCUCUGCUCUCCUUCUCAUUAAUUUUUCCUUUUCUAGUUGCCUUAUUAGGUCCUCCACAGUCACCCCAUCAGUCCCUGGCAGUCUGGUCCCUGGAGCAGCUGGCCCUGGCAAGUUAUUCCUUCACUGUUGACCCCUGACUGACUGGCCCUCGGCACACAAAUCCCUGGAUCACCCGCCACUGGAUCACCUGCCCCUGGAUCACCUGCCCCUGAAUCACCUGCCCCUGGCAAUGUGGCCUCUUGAUUGCUCUCGCCGUCUCCUGUGAUGUCCUUUUCAACGUUCUUGAAAUCCACCUCAAUUUCUCCCUCAAUCUCUGUAACAAUUACAAGGUAAUGUUGCUGUUAUAUGUAUUUUGCCUUUGCAUUUGCAACUACUGUCAUCUCCAAUGUAAUAAAAUGAAUUAAAGCAAAACAUUUCUGUAAUGUGAAUGAAAUCAUCUGCCACAAUCAGAAACCAAUACAAUUUAUAAAUGGAUCUACCAGCAAUUGUUAAUUGGGUAGAAAUGUGUCUUAUCUACAUUGUGUGCAAAUCCUCAGAGAAUCCCUGCCUUCUGGUUGUUUUUUAAACUGAAUGUACAAAUAUGAAUUAUGUAAUCUCAUUAGGAGUGUAGUCUAUCCUUGAAUUACAUGAAAUGGGGAAUAUUGUUAGCUGCAUGGAUCAUACCGAAGUUUAAUUUGGUGCAAUAUGUGUGGUCCGUUGCACUUGGUUCAGGAGGCACCCUCACAGAAGGGGGUUUCCUCCUCUUCGGUUUAGGGCGAUGGAUGAAAACUGUUGGGCCUGCAUCGGGCCUCAACUUCAACAUCCUAUCUACUUUUGUGGCUUUGAAUCGGUCAUUUUCAAAGUGUACCUGUAGGUAGGCUUGUAAGAUCAGUUUCCAUUGCACUUCAAAUAUCAUUGGAAAGUCAUAAUUCUCUACGCUUAGAAUUAUUAUGCCCUUUGAAAUGCUAGUAAGUGAUCUGAACAUUACGUUACAUCGUUUUUGACUGUUGCUGACUGUCAAUAAGUUUUGACGGCUGACCAUUGCCAUCCAUUUCUCCCUGCGCUCUUGGUCCUUGGGGAAGCCGUACAUGUGAUAACCCUUCUCGGACCGAUUGGGGCAUCCAAAUGCUGCACAGCCAACCAUGGUAUGACCAUUUAUCUAUAAAAUGUUAGUUGUAACCAAUGAACCAUGACACCAUUGAAGAUCACAGAGCGGGUAACAACUGUUCCUCAACCACUUAUGCCCCGACUUUUGAGAAUAGGUUAGAGGUCAGAGUUCAUGACCAAACGAGGAUCCUCCCUCCUAAACCCAUUUUGAAUUUGCUCAGGGCUAUUCUAAGUAUUGUAACGGCAUAAAGUAUAGUAUAUUUGCAACGUUAUAUGUUAAUGGUUUGCCCUAAGUAUAUAGUGUUCCCUGCUGUGUCCAUUGUUGAAUCUUCACACAAUCGCAAUCACUUGUUCUUGUCACACUAAUUGUUUAAUAAAAAAAAAUACAAUUUCAUUCAUCCAAGCGUAAUGAGUUGUUAUCCUUUAAUAUAUUUGAUACUUUGUGUGGCUUAUAUCUUUAAAUGAUCAUGGUAGAACAUCUUGAAUACUUUGAUUUCAACACAGAUGUAAGGUAAAAGUUAAGGUUAGGCCAGUAUGCUAACACGAACGUGAAGCUUUCCCUCCAAAACUUAAAAACGUAUCUAAGUAAUAGUACUUAUAGAUAGCUUUCAGUUGCCCCCCUACCGCUCUAAA